CCCACACUGCAAGAGACUCGACCACAAGCAGAUGCUAAUGAGGGGGAUAAAGUCUGAAACUGAUUGGGAGGAAGUAGAAAGGGUGUUCAAAAGAAAGGUAGUGAAAGCUGAAGAAGGCUAGUGUGGAUUAUGAGAACAUGUUCGAGGAGGUGCCCAUUGUCAUCAAGAACUCUCAUCUCAUCAACGUUCUGCUGUGGGAGCUGGAGGACAAAUCCACUACUGCAGACAAACACAAGCUCUUGAACCUUUCCAGCAGGUUUGACCACACACACAUGCAUUACUAUACAAGUGCAGUAUUUCCUAAUGCGAAUGAGGACAUGUGUUAAUUUAUACUAGUGCUGAGAUAUUCCUUAUGAUGCUUGCUCUCAUUAGCAGUAACUUAUCUCUGAUGAGGACUAAUGAAGAGGUCAUUGCCGCCCAGGUGAUUUGCUCCUAAAGGACAUCUGCUUUUAAUGGCUUUCAUGCCAGACUAUCUAAAUAAAAGGAUUUUGCUAACAGUGAAACUGUUCAUUAGACAGUCCUCAGACUUUUAGCUCUUGAACUUAAAGUGAACAUUCAAAUAUGACAGUUCACAAGCAGCUUUACUCCUCAUUCUGACAGAAGCUAGACAUCUCCUACCUUGAUCUGACAGAAUAAAUGUGGGGAUGAAUUUAAAGACACAAUUUCUAGGAAGGGUUUUUAUUAUGUACUAAAACACUAUCUGUUUCUAAAUUCAUCCUUUGUAAGCACCACUGUCACCAAAAUGUCAAUUCUGCAGGUCAUUCUGUCUUCAACAAUAACAUCCGAAAACAUUUGCUGGCAGCUAUUAAAUCAUGUUUUGCAGUACU
This is a long non-coding RNA of Carassius carassius (crucian carp), 827 nucleotides long. RefSeq lists it as uncharacterized. The transcript has 2 exons. The record is from RefSeq and is a predicted model, not a curated record. Lineage: Eukaryota; Metazoa; Chordata; Actinopteri; Cypriniformes; Cyprinidae.